GACGAACGCUGGCGGCGUGCUUAACACAUGCAAGUCGAACGGAAAGGCCCUGCUUUUGUGGGGUGCUCGAGUGGCGAACGGGUGAGUAACACGUGAGUAACCUGCCCUUGACUUUGGGAUAACUUCAGGAAACUGGGGCUAAUACCGGAUAGGAGCUCCUGUUGCAUGGUGGGGGUUGGAAAGUUUCGGCGGUUGGGGAUGGACUCGCGGCUUACCAGCUUGUUGGUGGGGUAGUGGCUUACCAAGGCUUUGACGGGUAGCCGGCCUGAGAGGGUGACCGGCCACAUUGGGACUGAGAUACGGCCCAGACUCCUACGGGAGGCAGCAGUGGGGAAUAUUGCACAAUGGGCGGAAGCCUGAUGCAGCAACGCCGCGUGCGGGAUGACGGCCUUCGGGUUGUAAACCGCUUUCGCCUGUGACGAAGCGUGAGUGACGGUAAUGGGUAAAGAAGCACCGGCUAACUACGUG
RNAcentral lists this ribosomal RNA (468 nucleotides) under uncultured bacterium. RNAcentral describes it as "partial 16S ribosomal RNA". It matches the Rfam family "Bacterial small subunit ribosomal RNA", at positions 28 to 507 of the family's 1533-position model. The record is from RNAcentral.